GAUGAACGCUGGCGGCGUGCCUAAUACAUGCAAGUCGAGCGAACAGACGAGGAGCUUGCUCCUCUGACGUUAGCGGCGGACGGGUGAGUAACACGUGGAUAACCUACCUAUAAGACUGGGAUAACUUCGGGAAACCGGAGCUAAUACCGGAUAAUAUAUUGAACCGCAUGGUUCAAUAGUGAAAGACGGUUUUGCUGUCCCUUAUAGAUGGAUCCGCGCCGCAUUAGCUAGUUGGUAAGGUAACGGCUUACCAAGGCAACGAUGCGUAGCCGACCUGAGAGGGUGAUCGGCCACACUGGAACUGAGACACGGUCCAGACUCCUACGGGAGGCAGCAGUAGGGAAUCUUCCGCAAUGGGCGAAAGCCUGACGGAGCAACGCCGCGUGAGUGAUGAAGGUCUUCGGAUCGUAAAACUCUGUUAUUAGGGAAGAACAAAUGUGAAAGUAACUAUGCACGUCUUGACGGUACCUAAUCAGAAAGCCACGGCUAACUACGUG
Molecule: ribosomal RNA, 497 nt
Filed under: uncultured bacterium
Lineage: Bacteria
Description: partial 16S ribosomal RNA
Rfam family: Bacterial small subunit ribosomal RNA
Source: RNAcentral